Molecule: ribosomal RNA, 259 nt
Filed under: uncultured prokaryote
Description: partial 16S ribosomal RNA
Rfam family: Bacterial small subunit ribosomal RNA
Source: RNAcentral
UACGGAGGAUGCAAGCGUUAUCCGGAUUUAUUGGGUUUAAAGGGUGCGCGGGUUGUUUGAUAAGUCAGUGGUGAAAGUCUGUCGCUUAACGGUAGGAUUGCCAUUGAUACUGUUGGACUUGAAUAUGGGUGAGGUAGGCGGAAUGUGUAGUGUAGCGGUGAAAUGCAUAGAUAUUACACAGAACACCGAUUGCGAAGGCAGCUUACUAAUCCAUCCUUGACGCUGAGGCACGAAAGCGUGGGGAUCAAACAGGAUUAGA